Long non-coding RNA from Anguilla rostrata (American eel), 471 nucleotides. RefSeq lists it as uncharacterized. NCBI's taxonomy places the organism in Eukaryota, Metazoa, Chordata, Actinopteri, Anguilliformes, Anguillidae. The transcript has 4 exons. The record is from RefSeq and is a predicted model, not a curated record.
AAGGCAACACCGAUUACAAAAUGAACUGGCGACGAGGACGACAAACUUAUGUGGCAUUGUCAUGAAAGCUGGCGAUAACUAAAGUGUAUCUCUGGACCUGUGUGAGACAUUCUGAUGUGUGAAUAGGGCUUUGGGACAAAGGGCUUCUGUGCAUCAACCAGACCCUUGCAUGAAGGAAUAUAACAGACUCCAUUUUGAAGUAGAUUUGAAGCAGACAAAAGAUCAGCGGCGUACACAGCUUCCAUUAGACUGGGACCUUUGGAUCAGCCUUCCCCAUUUGUUUUCCAAGAACGCUUACGGGCCCGUCUAACAACUCUCCUGAGAGUCUCCCGAGAUCUCACCAGCUGGAGACUAUUAUCAAAGACGCUGAGGGUAAGCAAACUCAAAUCAAUGACACAAAUGACACAUUUUGUGACAAACAGAUAGUACAGUACACUUUUAAACGUAUGGCUGUUAAACAUUCCCUCUUAC